RNAcentral lists this ribosomal RNA (279 nucleotides) under uncultured bacterium. RNAcentral describes it as "partial 16S ribosomal RNA". It matches the Rfam family "Bacterial small subunit ribosomal RNA", at positions 506 to 784 of the family's 1533-position model. The record is from RNAcentral.
UGCCAGCAGCCGCGGUAAUACGGAGGGUGCGAGCGUUAAUCGGAAUUACUGGGCGUAAAGCGCAUGCAGGCGGUUGAUUAAGCGAGAUGUGAAAGCCCCGGGCUUAACCUGGGAACUGCAUUUCGAACUGGUCAACUAGAGUCUUGUAGAGGGGGGUAGAAUUUCAGGUGUAGCGGUGAAAUGCGUAGAGAUCUGAAGGAAUACCAGUGGCGAAGGCGACUUCCUGGACUAUUACUGACACUGAGGAGCGAAAGCGUGGGGAGCAAACAGGAUUAGAUA